AUAUGUUCAAGACGCACUUCAUAUAAACGAAAUGUUGAUUAUUGUAGAAAACUGCAUCAUUGGCUAAAUAAAUUAAGAAAAUGUUAUAAAAUACCACGGAAAAUGGAGGAGCAAAAGAGUGAAACUUUAGACCUCUCGAGGCGUGGGUUGAAGAAAAUAGAGAAAGCGCCUCCUGAAGACGCCAAGUCAAUCAUCAACCUGGUCCUCGAUCAGAAUGAACUGCAGAGACUCGACAACAUCGAUACUUACAACCGGGUGGAAAACCUGUCGAUAUGCAACAACUUCUUGCUCCGAAUGCACGGAGUCUCCCGGUUGACUAACAUCAGAGUCCUGGCCCUCAACAACAAUGGGAUCCUACAGAUUGAGGGUCUGAAGGACCUGAUAUAUCUUAAAGUCUUGAAACUGGCUGGCAAUAAUAUCAAGUCAAUAGAGCAUCUGAACCACAACAUGCAUCUGGAACAAUUAGAUCUGUCCAACAAUCAAAUCUCAUUUAUAGCUGAUAUAUCUUACUUGAAAACUUUAAAGCACCUAAAUCUAGAACGCAACCGUAUCAUAGACUUGAGACAAUGCGAUCGCUACUUGCCUCCGAGCUUGGAGAAUUUCGGGCUCGCUCACAAUAACAUCCAGGACUUGAACGAGGUGUCACAUCUAGUGCACCUGUCCAAACUCGACAGCUUCACCAUACAGGGGAACCCGUGUGUCGCCAUGGCUGGGAAAGAUAAGCUGGGAUUUGACUACCGCCCUUUUGUUCUCAAUUGGAUUAUGAGCGUCAAAUCUAUCGACGGAUUCGUCGUGAGUGCAAUAGAAAGCCUAAAAGCAGAAUGGCUGUACAGCCAAGGAAAAGGCCGUCACUACCAUGCGGGCCAACAUCAGGAACUGUGCGAGUACUUAGCCUCCACUUGUCCUCUUACCGCCGACGCGCUGGAGACAGAGGACCAGAGGAAACUACGCAUGAUACUGAGCAAGGCACAGCACCACCAACAGCAGUUGAAGGACCAGACUCAUAGUCCACGCCCGAAGAUGCAGUCGCCUCGGAUGCAAUCGCGCAUCGGCACCCCGCGGCACAUGGGCCGAUCACCCGACCGCCUCACAUCGAGCUAUCACUCCUCGAUCAGCAAGACCAACUCUCCGCAGAUGUCUAUGUCUUGUUCUGGGGAUAUCGGCGGUCUACCAGCUCCUAUGAGCCAAAGCUUCGACUCUCCAGGGCUUAUGUAUUCAAUGGAGAAAAGGGAUAGUUUGAAGGAUAAACCUCAAGAAUCGCCACCACCUCCAUCAAGACCAGUGAACCACUCCUUAGAAGCGGCAUCUAAAAUGGUUCCCGUACCAGAAUCUCUGAUGAGCCCGGAUUACCAGGACCCCAUAUACGACAUCCAAAGAAGCAUACCAAAGCCAAACAACAGCAUUUCAUCGCAGUCAAGCAAUAGCAGCAUUCAAGAAGAGAGAGAGAGACCACGACAGAGUUCAAUCAGCAAACGAAUAGGCUCGCCGAAAUUAACGAAAAGCGCCACUUCUUCGCCGAAGUUAAAGUCCAAAAUGGAACAACGAAAAGGCAGUUUGAGUUUGACGAACGCGAAAAACGAAGAACGGAAGGUAAAUGGAGUUGUAAAGAACGAAGAGAAAGACCAGAUAGACCAUGAUAAGUUGGAGAUAAUUAAACUGGCGUCGAAUCAGAGGCGCCAGAGGAAGAUGAGUGCUGAAUCGAGUGCGGCGAUAACCAUACAGAAGAUGUGGAGAGGAUAUAGGAGUCGGAAUCUAAACAAAGAUACGUUGAGGAUCUUACACGCAAUACAAGCGGCGCGGGCGCGGCAGCAUAUACAAAGAUUGACAUGCGACAUGGAGGCGACAAAGGCGGCGUUAGAAAGCGAGCGCAAGAUACAGCAGCUUCAGAUGCAGGCCAUCAACGCGCUCUGGAAGAAGGUCUCUACUCUGCAGACUGCAGAUUCGCAGAAACAAAAGGGUGUUGAGCCGGAGGACAAUACGGAGGUAUUGCGACAACUUACCGAAACAUGCUUCAGUUUACAAGCACAGGUGGUGGAGCUGCAGGGCUGCAUGCAGGAGGUGCUGAAGGCAGUGUCAGGCAAACAACGCGCCGAGCCCGUCGCCACGCAAACGGACAUCGUUGCUGUCAACACGCCACAGGAGGAGCGCUGCGGCUGGCUGAAGCGGCCGCAGUCGCUGCCGCUGGACGUGGCCACGCCGCCCGCGCCGGCGCCUGCGCACUGCGAGCGCGCCCGGCGCCCUGACUCGCCGCCGCCGGAUGUUGAUGUACAGCUCGAAAAACAAAACGACUUGGAAUCGUUAGACAUUGAGCGCACAGAAUCGGUGAUAGCAGAUAACGAAGGUAACGACGGCGUCAUAGAGCAGCGAAACCAAAGUGUCAUCGUCGAAUGAUGACUGGUAGAUCUAGUUAUAAUAAUCUAUAGUUCAUAUAGGCGGGGCUUGAUGACGGCGCAUUUAUAUUUAAAUAUUUUUAUAACUAAAGACAGUUAUACUUUUGUUUAAUUAUAUAUUUUGUAAAGGUUAACAUUUGACGAAACACUUACGUAGAUUCACGUGUAAUCCUUGCUUAGUCGACAGGGUCUCAAGUUGUUAAGACAAUAAUUUGCAAUCACUCUUAGUAUUGACGUUAUUGGAUAAUUCAUAAGAUAAAUGUUUAGGUCACAACCUGUUAAGGUAAUUAACACAUUUAUAUCAAUAAUAUAAUUUAAAAUCGAUUCCUUGGUUGACUUCGACUACGAUAGGCCCGUAGUGAUAAGCAUAAGUGCACAUCAUGAGAGAUGCAAACGCGUGAGUGUGAGCGAGACAGACAAUGACAAACACCCCCCCCCCCCCCUUGAGCAGCGUGCGGUCAUUUACGACUAAAGUAAGACCCAAAGGGGGUGAUGUCGGCGCAUACGAAUUGUUGCGGGGCGAAGAGUCACCGUUCUAUACGAAGUAUUAUUAAUAAUUCUAUGUCUUUGACAAAGAUCAUUUAACUGCAUACUUAUUUAGUUAUUUAAAUAUAAAUGCGCAGAAUAUUGUGGACCGAUAGUUCCAUGGCAAAGAAACGCUAAAGCAAAGCUUAGGAUUGUCAAGUGGCUUAGAUUACGGUGUGGUAAAGCUAUAUUAAUUGAAGUUAUAUAAUUUUAUUCUAAUGUUAUAAUUUUAACACAAAGUGACUAAUUCGUUCGCAAACGGUUUUCACACCAUUGCUGCAUUUAAUGAGAAAGUGUUAUCGAUCGAUCGUAAUACUUUACAUCUUGUAAAGUUUUAUAAGUUAUAUUUACAUACUUAUGUACAUCAACCCUCUGAUAUGAUUUAUUAAAUUCUAUAUUUAAUAAUACGAUCAAAAUGUUGUCGAUUACGAAGUCACAAAGUAAAUAGAUCCAAAUUGUAUAUGUACUGAAAUAGAUUUAUUUAGUAGCCGAAUCUUGACCUAUAUGGUAUUUAAAACGAUUAAAAUAUCGUGAAAAAAUCUUAAAAGUUUUUGCGCGAUGGUUAUGCAUGCGAAAUUCAUGACAUUAGUUUGUAAGUUAAUCUGUUUUAAACAGUACCUACUCUUAUUGUAAAACCUGGUUUAACAUUUUUAGCUGGCACCUAAACAAACACUGUAAACCGCUUAAAUCUUAGCAUGAAGAGAUUUUCAUCAAGACAGAAAUAUCCUACUUCUACCUAGCGGGAUAGAGACGAGAGAUAUGUCUCUUUCGCACCAACGGUAUACAGCUUAGUACGAAAGAGACGAGAGAUAAUUGGGUAGUUUCCUAGGUCAAAGAUAAAUUACGAAAUUCUGAUUACUGAAUAAACACAGAUCUAAAGGUGACAAAAAAUGUUUUCUAUUUAACUUAUUUAAGAAUUUUAAUUAAAAGAAAUGUAAUAAUAAGUGCGACAUUUUGUCACUUUUUCCAUGACAUCUCAGGUUGCUUUUUCAAACAAAUUCCAUAAUAAUUUCGUGUUUUGACUUUUAGUAAAUAGUAACUGAUUUGAUUAGUUGGAAACUAUUGAAUUUAAUCAUGCUACGUUGUCUAAGCUAGAUUUUAAGUAUUUCUUUAUCUUUAUAAAUCCAGUGAUGACUAAACAAGGUUUUACAACAAGUCAUUUAUUGUUAAUAUAAGCAAAUCGUCACAAACUGCGGUUGUUAUUCUGGAACGAAAUGUAAUCUUAAUGUCUGCUUUUAUUCAUAAAUUCAUAAUUCAUUACAUUGAUAACGUUCGUGCAUUGUACCGUUCAGACUACGGUUUUGGCCGACUAGUCGGCCUAAGAAAGUCGAUUGAUUAGUCGGCCCUAGCCAAUACUUUGAAAGAGCCGUUUCCGAAGUUGGAAAUGUACAACAGCUAUUUACUAUUGUAAUUCACAAAAAUGGUUAGCAAAGAUUUUUGACACAUACUUACAGCAAUAAAUAUUUAUUGCGAGGUGGAUAUAUUUCUUAUUCUUUCGUGAUGAUUAUUCUUAUAAUAUGAUUAUAUUUUACCGAGUUCUUAUUUCAAGAAUUUUCUGCAUUUUGAAGCUAACGUAUUCCAUGUCGACUAGUCGGCCUAUCUUUAAAUAAUAUUAAUUUUUACUAUGAGAGCGUAUAGAAUUGUAUUCGUUCGUAUGUGUACGCACAAAACGAAUUCGUACUGUAACGCAUUUUAACGGACAAACACCAUACAAUGCACAAACGUUACAUUUAAUUUUAAACGCACUAAAUUCACUGCCAUUAUGCUAAUUAAUUAUACUGGACAAUGUUUUGUACAUUUGUAUAACGUACCUGCUGUGACAUUGGCGCGAUGUACACGAAAUAUAUUUAUAGUUUAAAAAGGAUAGGCUUAUCUGCGGCUGAAGUCGAAGAGUAACUACUUUUUUUUUUAAUUGUAUUUAAUACUUAAGGUCGGGGAAUGCCACAACAAAGUUGAAUACAAAAAAAUAUAAAUACUAACAUCCCCUACUCUCUUUUGCCGCAGAGAAAGUCGUUAUUAUUAUAAAAAAUCUUUAAAAUAAGGCAGUAUUAAUUGAUAAAGGCUAAAAUGCUAAGACGUGUGGUGCGUUCGUCUAACUCUAGAAUUAGAAUUGUGGAUAUAAGAAAAGGAAUUGGUAUUAAAAUGGAAAAUUCAAAGCUAUGAAUGUUAAUAUUUUUGCGAUAUAUUUGUCCUGUGGUUUUUGUUUUAAUCUAUGUUUUAUGUCACAUUCCAACAAAUUGGAACUUCAUGCAUUUAUUUUAAUAUUUUUAAAAGUUAUAAAGUACACUUUGUAAUAAAAGCACUAAUAGAUAAAAAUAUUUUUGAAAUGUUUUAGAUUUAUUACGAUGCAAUGCAGGAACACUAUGCCUUUUCUAUUUUUAAUGAGCUUGAUUUUGAGCUAUUUAUUUGUAUAGCAAAUAAGAAUCUCGCAGAUUUACUUUCUUGUUAUUUUUUAACUGAACUUUUUUAAAACAAUAUCAAAAUUUUCACAAAAUAUAAAAUUGCCAUCUAAUUUUUUUACAUUGGAGCAGCCAUCUUGUAUUUUAACAAUCACCAUGACGUCUCAUUUGUCUCAAAUACUUUUUAUUUUUUAGGCCGGACGCUUUUUGGUACAGAUUAGCCCCGCAUAUAAUACUGAUCUACGAUGGACACUCGAACCCAGUGUGUGCGCUUAAGUACUUGAAAGGUCAGGAUUGUUCUUGCGUGUUCGUCUGAACGCAUGACUCGAAUUUGUACGAAAACGUGUCCAAACUGCGACCGGCCUUAUUGUUUUAACCUUGGAUAAGUUCAUUCGCUCUAAUAAUUUCCACUAGUCAUUUUUAACUUUCGUAUAAUGUCGCUGGCAACGAUUUUAUUUUUACAGCUAUGAUUAUUUUUAAGAUUUUACGUCUGAUUAAUGUUAUUGGUAGCUUGCUUUUAAAUUAGUUUUUAUUUCAAAUAUUUGCACUAUACACUGAAUUUUAAAAAUGGGUCUGCGAUACCUUGUCUUUAUCUUGUGAUGUUAUAUAACCAAUCAUAGAACAGCUUGAAGAUGCGAAUAAUGUUGUAAGCUAUAAUGGUGAUGGCAUAAAAUAAUAACUUAACUAGUAUUAUAGAUGUUGUUUAUACUAUGUAAUAAUGUGCAAUUUGGAGGCCCUGUGCAUCGAUUUUAUACUGCAUACAUAUACAUUUUACUAGUAUAAAACGUUAAAUGUUACAGAUGGAAAGAAACAAACCCAUUUUAUCAUACUAGUGUUGCCAAUAAUCUGCGAAAACAGCUCCCGUAUUUAAUUUCUACUUCUGUUUUGAGAAAUAUGCCUUUCAAAAACGUCUGUUUGUCUAAAGAGCCUUUUAGUUCUUAACAGAUAUGUACAAGUAAAUCGGUGCACGGUCAGCCUCUAUAUUUCCAAAGACACUUGCCGUCCUCUCUUCAAUUUCAUUACCCACCUUAUUUGUUAUGUUAGAGUCUGUAUUUAUUGUGUUUUAUAAAACCAUUUUGAAACUA
This 6399-nucleotide unclassified non-coding RNA is filed under the name Pectinophora gossypiella (pink bollworm). RNAcentral's name for it is "centrosomal protein of 97 kDa". The record is from RNAcentral. Lineage: Eukaryota; Metazoa; Arthropoda; Insecta; Lepidoptera; Gelechiidae.